GACGGCUCAGUAACACGUAGUCAAUCUACCUUAUGGACGGGGAUAACCUCGGGAAACUGAGAAUAAUACCCGAUAGAUCAUAAUUCCUGGAAUGGUUUAUGGUCCAAAUGAUUUAUCGCCAUAGGAUGGGACUGCGGCCUAUCAGCUUGUUGGUGGGGUAAUGGCCCACCAAGGCUAUAACAGGUACGGGCUCUGAGAGGAGAAGCCCGGAGAUGGGUACUGAGACACGGACCCAGGCCCUAUGGGGCGCAGCAGGCGAGAAACCUUAGCAAUGUGCGAAAGCACGACUAGGUUAAUCCGAGUGAUUUCUGCUGAAGAAAUCUUUUGUCAGUUCUAAAUCUACUGGUGAAUAAGGGGUGGGCAAGUCUGGUGUCAGCCGCCGCGGUAAUACCAGCACCUCGAGUGGUUAGGAGGUUUAUUGGGCCUAAAGCAUCCGUAGCCGGCUUUGCAAGUCUCCGGUUAAAUCCAUCUGCUUAACAGAUGGGCUGCCGGAGAUACUACAUAGCUAGGGAGCGGGAGAGGUAGACGGUAUUCGGUGGGUAGGGGUAAAAUCCUCUGAUCCAUUGAGGACCACCAGUGGCGAAGGCGGUCUACCAGAACGCGUUCGACGGUGAGGGAUGAAAGCUGGGGGAGCAAACCGGAUUAGAUACCCGGGUAGUCCCAGCUGUAAACGAUGCAAACUCGGUGAUGCAUUGGCUUAUGGCCAGUGCAGUGCCGCAGG
This 721-nucleotide ribosomal RNA is filed under the name uncultured archaeon. RNAcentral describes it as "bacterial SSU rRNA". It matches the Rfam family "Archaeal small subunit ribosomal RNA", at positions 83 to 807 of the family's 1478-position model. The record is from RNAcentral.